GCCUGGGUAGCUCAGUCGGUUGAGUGUCCGACUUCGGCUCAGGUCAUGAUCUCACGGUUCGUGGGUUCGAGCCCCACAUCGGGCU
RNAcentral lists this transfer RNA (85 nucleotides) under Felis catus (domestic cat). It matches the Rfam family "tRNA". From Rfam's summary of the family: Transfer RNA (tRNA) molecules are approximately 80 nucleotides in length. Their secondary structure includes four short double-helical elements and three loops (D, anti-codon, and T loops). Further hydrogen bonds mediate the characteristic L-shaped molecular structure. tRNAs have two regions of fundamental functional importance: the anti-codon, which is responsible for specific mRNA codon recognition, and the 3' end, to which the tRNAs corresponding amino acid is attached (by aminoacyl-tRNA synthetases). tRNAs cope with the degeneracy of the genetic code in two manners: having more than one tRNA (with a specific anti-codon) for a particular amino acid; and 'wobble' base-pairing, i.e. permitting non-standard base-pairing at the 3rd anti-codon position. The record is from Rfam by way of RNAcentral. Lineage: Eukaryota; Metazoa; Chordata; Mammalia; Carnivora; Felidae.